RNAcentral lists this ribosomal RNA (490 nucleotides) under uncultured bacterium. RNAcentral describes it as "partial 16S ribosomal RNA". It matches the Rfam family "Bacterial small subunit ribosomal RNA", at positions 30 to 507 of the family's 1533-position model. The record is from RNAcentral.
AUUGAACGCUGGCGGCAUGCUUUACACAUGCAAGUCGAACGGCAGCACGAAAGAGCUUGCUCUUUUGGUGGCGAGUGGCGAACGGGUGAGUAAUGCAUCGGAACGUACCGAGUAAUGGGGGAUAACUGUCCGUAAGGAUAGCUAAUACCGCAUACGCUUUGAGAAGGAAAGUGGGGGCUCUUCGGACCUCACGUUAUUCGAGCGGCCGAUGUCUGAUUAGCUAGUUGGUGGGGUAAAGGCCUACCAAGGCGACGAUCAGUAGCGGGUCUGAGAGGAUGAUCAGCCGCACGGGGACUGAGACGCGGCCCAGACUCCUACGGGAGGCAGCAGUGGGGAAUUUUGGACAAUGGGCGCAAGCCUGAUCCAGCCAUGCCGCGUGUCUGAAGAAGGCCUUCGGGUUGUAAAGGACUUUUGUUAGGGAAGAAAAGGAUAGUGUUAAUACCAUUAUCUGCUGACGGUACCUAAAGAAUAAGCACCGGCUAACUACGUG